Esox lucius (northern pike) is the source of this 929-nucleotide long non-coding RNA. RefSeq lists it as uncharacterized. The transcript has 3 exons. Lineage: Eukaryota; Metazoa; Chordata; Actinopteri; Esociformes; Esocidae. The record is from RefSeq and is a predicted model, not a curated record.
CAUGGCAAUGCUUCAGGUCACCACAUAUGAUGUGUGGCAGUAGAAGCCUUGGGACUGUAAGACCUGAGAAACCUCUGUCUUCUCUCCCUCCGCCCCUCCGUUUAGUUCUGCUCCUGGGCUGUUUAUCUUCACCGGGAACAUUCAGAACCCUGAGACAAUCCAGCUCUGUUGCCCUUGUGACAGUUGGAUGAUUAACAGACGUGUGUGUGAGAGCGUGAGUGUGUGUGGAACAUCACUGAGGGAGACGGCAGCAUCCUGUCUUGUAGACCAAUGUCUGGAGACCGAGGAUCUGUGGCUGGUUUAAGGGAACCAGUGGCACUUAGGGAGCAGAGAAGAGUUUUUGACUCGACAGAAGAUGCACAACGACCAAGUGCCAGAACACUCACCCACACCAGCUGUGAGGCGGAGAGGUGAUCAGUGAGAUAUGAACGAGAGGGACGGUUCAAUGGCCACGACAGAAAGGGGCCCGGUUUGGGAGUUUAGCCAGGACGCCGGCGAAGGACAUUGGAGAAGCAGGGGGACAGAGGAAGACCGGGGAAGAGGUGGGCCUUGGGUAAAGAGGGAGCAUGGGGCUGUGCAUCCUUGAUGAAAGUUUAGGAUCUGGAAAGUGUUGGGACAGAGAGACGAGAGCCUCCCAGCUCUGCUAACAGGGGCUCGGCCUCCAGAGGCACAGAGUAUGGGAGCCUCAGCUCUAACCCCGAUGAGGUCAUUGUACCAACAGCCAAACGUAAAACAAACGUGACCAGAGCUAGAGAAUAAACACGGAAGUCAAUAAUUAAAAGAAAAAAUAUUUAGAAUCGACCGUCGUCUAGCCAAAUCAUUCACUUGGUGACAAAAGAACAAUUAAUAUCGCUGGCGAACAUGUAUAAGGUGCCAGCACCCCCCACCCCACCCACUCUUCGAUGCCUGAGGCCCUCAAUAUACUCAUA